Molecule: long non-coding RNA, 882 nt
Filed under: Olea europaea (common olive)
Lineage: Eukaryota; Viridiplantae; Streptophyta; Magnoliopsida; Lamiales; Oleaceae
Description: long non-coding RNA (OEUR_LNC009151)
Source: RNAcentral
GAAAUUUAAAGCUUUGGAGCUUUGCUAAUAAUUUUAUUUUAGAGAAAAUUAGGUUGGGUACACUAAAAAAUGGACAAAUUAAAUUAACACACUUAAAAUAAAUUAAUACGCCCAUCAGGCCCAUUAGUGUCAUUCUAGAACUCUCCUCACGUCUCAAACAUCUGUAGAUUUUCAUUUCCACCUCUAUCCAUUUUUCGCCUCUCUCUUUCUUUGUCGUCUUUUCUGCCUUCAUCCUUCUCCUAUUCAUGUAUUUAUUAAACACCAACCCUAAAAGUCCCAAAUUCACAGUAGCACAAACCCUAACAUUUUAUUGUCAGCAAUGGCUUUGAAGUGUAGGCAAUCAUCAACAAAGUUACCAAGAUGAAACUGACCCGGAAAAAUCCGUGUCUCCAACAUGAAGGAUCUUCUUUUGGAUAAACAAUUUGUGGUAGAAAGCUUGAAAAAGAGAUUGGAAGAGAAAGUGGAAGAUAAUCAGAAGCUCUGUAUACAAGUGAAAGAAAAGCCACUCAAGAGUUUAAAACGUAGUUUAAUGACCGGGAGAGGUAGGUGAGAACCUCUCUAGUGGUGUCAGAAGCCAUGGUAGUGUGGUUGAUAGAGUUAAGAUUAGUAGACCGUAUUAGAUUUCUUUGCUUUACAUAACAUUUUGUUAAAGUUAAGUUGUACAUGCCAAAAGAUUUGUGUCAAGAUUGACUUGCUCGAUUGAAUUGUUUUUGUCUUUUUAUAUUUAAAAAUUCUUAUUCCAAAUCUUUUGUGGUUGCAAGAAAAAUCAUAGGGGCACAUAAAUGUUGCAUUGUAAACAAUGAAUUUCGAGGGUUUCAUUUGAUUGUUUGCCUUCAUGAAUUCUAUUGUUGUGUAAAAUUGAAUAAUUUUACUACAAUCUCG